GACCACACGACUACUGCAAGUGC
Molecule: non-coding RNA, 23 nt
Filed under: Arabidopsis thaliana (thale cress)
Lineage: Eukaryota; Viridiplantae; Streptophyta; Magnoliopsida; Brassicales; Brassicaceae
Source: RNAcentral